This 200-nucleotide unclassified non-coding RNA is filed under the name uncultured Cortinarius. Its description in RNAcentral is "sequence contains ITS2". The record is from RNAcentral. Lineage: Eukaryota; Fungi; Basidiomycota; Agaricomycetes; Agaricales; Cortinariaceae.
UUAAGUUCAGCGGGUAGUCCUACCUGAUUUGAGGUCACAUUAAUGAAAAUUUGUCCAAGUCAAUGGACUGUUAGAAGCUGAACUUGCUUCACCAUCAAUAGCGUAGAUAAUUAUCACACCAAUGAUCAGUCAACAAAUUGUUCCGCUAAUGCAUUUCAGGGGAGCUGACCUCAGAAGAGAGGCCAACAAACAAAGACCCC